UACGAAGGGGGCUAGCGUUGUUCGGAAUUACUGGGCGUAAAGCGCGCGCAGGCGGUCCUUUAAGUCAGGGGUGAAAGCCCAGAGCUCAACUCUGGAACGGCCUUUGAAACUAGAGGACUUGGGUACGGGAGAGGUGAGUGGAAUUCCGAGUGUAGAGGUGAAAUUCGUAGAUAUUCGGAGGAACACCAGUGGCGAAGGCGGCUCACUGGUCCGGUACUGACGCUGAGGUGCGAAAGCGUGGGGAGCAAACAGG
This 253-nucleotide ribosomal RNA is filed under the name uncultured bacterium. RNAcentral describes it as "partial 16S ribosomal RNA". It matches the Rfam family "Bacterial small subunit ribosomal RNA", at positions 524 to 776 of the family's 1533-position model. The record is from RNAcentral.